CAAAGCUCGUGGAGUGGAUGAGGCCGCUUGGAUUAGUUUAACCGUCUUCCUUGCAUCUUGAGGCCGGAUAGAAUGAAAUACCGAGGCUGGAUGAACCAGCCUCGACUAAACCUCGAACCCAGAGCCAAAGUGAACCCAGGAUCAGAUCUGGCUUAGCUCAGGGUAGCUUAACUUCCGGUGUUUGUUUAUUGUGAAGUGAGAUAAUGGGAAGAGUGUUUGAGCAAACAACAGUUAGAAUUUAGAUUGUGUCAACAUUAUAAGAGAACAGAUUUUAAAAGUCAAAAAAUGAAAAGGGUUUGUAUACUUCUUCUGCUGGCUGUUCAAGUUCGUGAGUCACCAGCCCGUCGGAAGCGUCAACAACAUGAUCAUCGAAUAGAAACAGAUCAAUAUGGAGAUCAUUAUCAAUCAGUAGAUCAAGAUCACAGCUCUCAGCAAUACGCACAUCCAUUUCCGAAUUCGGAGGACACAACGGAAAAUUCGGAAAACCCGUUUUAUCAUUCCGGAAAUGAGUUUACGGAUUCGGAAAAUCGAUUUUAUGAAUCUAGAAAUGAGCAGAGCAGGUCUAAAACCAGACUUGACAUUCAACACACUCAGCCUGAUAAUCAGUUUACAAAAGAUGAAUCAAACCCGGCUCAAGGAAGGAAUAAUCGGCAUCAAAACCAGCCUCAUCGGAAACAACGACGGCCUCAUGACUCAAGGUAUCUGAACAGUCCAGGUACUGAAGUUCAUGACACUCACAGCUCUGAAGACUACCUGGAUACAGAGCAAGAACAGUCUGAUGCUAAUCAGCAGCGACGAAUGCAGAGACGUGAACGGCAGAGAUUACUUGAGGAACAGCAGGACCAGAUGAAGAAACAGAUCAGGCACAAACUCCUCAUCAUAGUUCUGGACGGUUUUCGCUGGGAUUAUAUGGAACAGUAUGAACGCCGAACAGGACUUACUUUGGACGGAUUUAGAGCCUUUCAGAGUGGAGGGGUUAGAUCUGAAUAUUUGGAAUCUGUUUUCCCAGCAGAGAGCUUCCCAGCUUGGCAAACUCUGCAAACAGGUUUGUACCCUGAAAACCAUGAUAUUGUUGGAAACCAGUUUUAUGAUUCGGAAAUUCACAAACAGCUUGGAAAUUCAGGACAAGCAUUUUUUAACAUUGAGGACCAGCGUUCUACUCAGCACAUGAAAUGGUGGCAGAAGGAUGAACCGUUGUGGGCCACUGCUAAGAAACAUGAUGUCACAUUUGCUGCGUAUUUGUGGGGACGAUGCGAUAUACCCUACGACGCAGAGAAACGAUUAAGGUUUGAUUUUUGUGAAAACUUGUAUCAGAAGGAUGGAACUAAAACCCUGAGAAUAAAUGUGGACAAGGCUUUGAUGAAUUUCCAAAGUGAAUUCGAUGCAGCCAUUAUCUAUGAGGACUCAUUGGAACGAGCUGCAGAGGAUUAUGGACCGAACUCAAGUCAGUUGGAAGAUAAAGUAAAAGAGUUGGAUCUUGCGAUCAGCCAUCUUUCUGAUCGACUCAACGUGACAAAUAUGGCUGAUAUUGUAAAUGUCGUCAUUCUCUCAGAUCAUGGAAUGUCCCAGGCAGCUCCGCCUCGCAGGACGGAUUUGACAGAAUCUGGAGAAGAAAUGGAGAUCAGAAAAAUUCAACUUUCAGAUACACUUUCAAGAGAAAAUGUCAGUGUUGCGAGAACUUUAAGGUGGGUGGUUGGGAGUGGGUCCCAUGCAGCUGUGUAUCCCAGGGGAAAAGAGUUUAGACAACAGAUUAUAGAAGAGCUCUCCAAUAUUCAGGGAAUACAGGUAUUUGAUCACCCUGAUAUCCCUGAGAGGUUUCACUACAAACUAAGCAAGAAUACUCCACCAAUACUGGUUCUAGCUUCUCCGGGUACUGUUAUCCUGAGCAGUACAUCAGACGUUCAGAGACCUUCCUACCUGGAUAGAAACGGUGGUUACAACCCCCAGAGAUUGAUUGAGCAGACGAAGAUGGGAGUCGCUGGUUAUGAUCCUGAAGAACCAGAUAUGAGAGGAAUAUUUAUGGCGAGAGGACCAGCAUUUAAAGACACGGGUGAGGUUCUGCCCCCAGUCCAACUAGUAGAUGUAUAUGAACUCUUGUGUAAGGUUUUGGAUAUAGAGCCGCGUCCUAAUGAUGGCAUCUUUGCUAGAAUUCAGGCCUUUCUCAAGGGCGGAGCAACAGAUUAUCAGUGUUCCAACUUUCUCCUACUUCUUCUACUACCUGCCCUACUCCAAACAUUGUAGAGUAGCUUUUCUUCAAAAUUACUCCAACCUACUCCUACUCUUAUUCCUAUUCCUUCUCCUACUCCUACUUCUACUCCUACUGCCAACUCUACUCCAAACAUUGUAGAUAAUUCCUAUUCCAGAACUACUCUAACCUACUCCUACUUCUAUUACUACUACUCCUACUCCUAUUCCAGAACUACUUCAACCUACUCCUACUCCUAUUACUCCUACUCCUACUCCUACUCCUACUUCUAUUACUCCUACUCCUACUCCUAUUCCAGAACUACUCUAACCUACUCCUACUCCAACUCCUACUCCUACUGCCUGUACACUACUCCAAACAUUGUAGAGUAUUCCACAACUUCCGAACAACUCCAAUCUACUUCUCAUACCCUAAUUUAUAGACUUUGGACAAAAGAGUUUGUACACCAGAAUAAAAAAGUCUGAUCAGGCCUUCACUUGUGAAAAAAAUGGCUUUCUAAACUAUUAGAUAAAAAAAUCAAUGGAAAAGUGUGAUUUAAAAAAUGGAAUCAAAGCAAGUUUUCAAUGGAACAUUAGGCUUUCAGCAAUCAUAACGUUGUGAACUUUUUUAACAGUGUACAUGUCUUAUUUAUUGUACAUGUCUCAGUGAUUGUACAAGCAUCGUACGUAGUGAUUGUACCAUACAAGGAAAUACCAGUACUUUUAUACAGUAUUGUGUAUACUGCAAUUGCUCAAAAGCAAAUAAAUAUAUACUGAGCUGGGAAUUUUUGUAUUGGAUGCUCUUAAUCUAGCUUGAUCGAUCUCAAUAUCCACUGUGGAAACUUUUAAUUUUUCUGCUUAAUCCUUUCUUUUUGGAUAUCCCUACUGGGUUCCGACUAAUGCAAAUGUUCUCUCAGUGGUUGCACGCAAAUUUCUAAUUAGCUGUUUGGUUUUUACAAUCCACACUCUGAUUGAGAGAUUAAAUUAAUCUGCAGAUAAACCAAAAGAAGAGAUCAAGCAUUGAUCUUGAUUUAUAUAAUUCAAAAGUUUCCAGUUCAGACCUGGGAUUGUUUGCACUGAAUGUACAGUAAAGUCGAUGAUUCCUAGAGUUAGAUGAAAUCCAAAUCCAAAAAUCCCAGCGUUGAAUAAAGACGAUCAAAUUAUCAAUUUUCAUAAAAUUAAACUUUAUCAAAGUUUUAUAAUCAUCAAAAAAUCAAUGGAAAAAAGAUUUCUUAAUCUACGGACGAUAUUGUCAUUAAAGAAGAAAAAAAAUCAUUGAAUUUCAGGGUUUUUUACUAGCUUGAAAAUAUCUUAACUAUUGCUUUCUAUUACUCUGCUUUAACACGUUAUAACACAUUCAAUAUUAAACUUUAAUAUAUCUCAGGUUAAAAUAGUUUUAUAAAGAUUAUCAAAUACGAAAUUUACAAUCAUACUCGUUUUUUUAUGCAUACUUUUAAAUCAAUGGUUAUGUUAUUUUCGUUAUUAAACAAUAUUUUACGUUAAUUUGGGUUUUUAAGGGAAUGCCGUGUUAUUUAUGCCUGAUUCAAAACACACUAUUUAACCCUUAAUCUGAACAACAAUGUUUCUACAGCAAGAACAUAGUCACGUAGAAAAACCACAAUUAAAAAAAACAAUUUCUAGGAUUAUAUCUUAUGAAGUCUUGACCGGGCAAAGUUUUAAAGGGUACCGUUGUGAAUCAGACAUUCCACUCUAUGUUUGCAGGGAGACUUGAACUUCGUGUACAGUCCCUUUAGCGGAACUUUACCAACUAGUUUUACUCUUUUGUUGAGCUAAAUUUGACAAUUAACACUUUUGUUUCUUCAUCUGUUCUUUCUAAAAAUUAAUAAAAAAUGAACAAUCAAUUAAAAUUUAGAUUUAAAAUUCUUGACAAUUUUUUUGCAUGUA
RNA transcript from Eurytemora carolleeae, 4089 nucleotides. It is a transcript of the gene named ectonucleotide pyrophosphatase/phosphodiesterase family member 6, with no coding region annotated. The transcript has 22 exons. Lineage: Eukaryota; Metazoa; Arthropoda; Copepoda; Calanoida; Temoridae. The record is from RefSeq and is a predicted model, not a curated record.